Molecule: ribosomal RNA, 2923 nt
Filed under: Staphylococcus aureus
Lineage: Bacteria; Bacillati; Bacillota; Bacilli; Caryophanales; Staphylococcaceae
Description: 23S ribosomal RNA
Rfam family: Bacterial large subunit ribosomal RNA
Source: RNAcentral
GAUUAAGUUAUUAAGGGCGCACUGUGGAUGCCUUGGCACUAGAAGCCGAUGAAGGACGUUACUAACGACGAUAUGCUUUGGGGAGCUGUAAGUAAGCUUUGAUCCAGAGAUUUCCGAAUGGGGAAACCCAGCAUGAGUUAUGUCAUGUUAUCGAUAUGUGAAUACAUAGCAUAUCAGAAGGCACACCCGGAGAACUGAAACAUCUUAGUACCCGGAGGAAGAGAAAGAAAAUUCGAUUCCCUUAGUAGCGGCGAGCGAAACGGGAAGAGCCCAAACCAGCAAGCUUGCUUGUUGGGGUUGUAGGACACUCUAUACGGAGUUACAAAGGACGACAUUAGACGAAUCAUCUGGAAAGAUGAAUCAAAGAAGGUAAUAAUCCUGUAGUCGAAAAUGUUGUCUCUCUUGAGUGGAUCCUGAGUACGACGGAGCACGUGAAAUUCCGUCGGAAUCUGGGAGGACCAUCUCCUAAGGCUAAAUACUCUCUAGUGACCGAUAGUGAACCAGUACCGUGAGGGAAAGGUGAAAAGCACCCCGGAAGGGGAGUGAAAUAGAACCUGAAACCGUGUGCUUACAAGUAGUCAGAGCCCGUUAAUGGGUGAUGGCGUGCCUUUUGUAGAAUGAACCGGCGAGUUACGAUUUGAUGCAAGGUUAAGCAGUAAAUGUGGAGCCGUAGCGAAAGCGAGUCUGAAUAGGGCGUUUAGUAUUUGGUCGUAGACCCGAAACCAGGUGAUCUACCCUUGGUCAGGUUGAAGUUCAGGUAACACUGAAUGGAGGACCGAACCGACUUACGUUGAAAAGUGAGCGGAUGAACUGAGGGUAGCGGAGAAAUUCCAAUCGAACCUGGAGAUAGCUGGUUCUCUCCGAAAUAGCUUUAGGGCUAGCCUCAAGUGAUGAUUAUUGGAGGUAGAGCACUGUUUGGACGAGGGGCCCCUCUCGGGUUACCGAAUUCAGACAAACUCCGAAUGCCAAUUAAUUUAACUUGGGAGUCAGAACAUGGGUGAUAAGGUCCGUGUUCGAAAGGGAAACAGCCCAGACCACCAGCUAAGGUCCCAAAAUAUAUGUUAAGUGGAAAAGGAUGUGGCGUUGCCCAGACAACUAGGAUGUUGGCUUAGAAGCAGCCAUCAUUUAAAGAGUGCGUAAUAGCUCACUAGUCGAGUGACACUGCGCCGAAAAUGUACCGGGGCUAAACAUAUUACCGAAGCUGUGGAUUGUCCUUUGGACAAUGGUAGGAGAGCGUUCUAAGGGUGUUGAAGCAUGAUCGUAAGGACAUGUGGAGCGCUUAGAAGUGAGAAUGCCGGUGUGAGUAGCGAAAGACGGGUGAGAAUCCCGUCCACCGAUUGACUAAGGUUUCCAGAGGAAGGCUCGUCCGCUCUGGGUUAGUCGGGUCCUAAGCUGAGGCCGACAGGCGUAGGCGAUGGAUAACAGGUUGAUAUUCCUGUACCACCUAUAAUCGUUUUAAUCGAUGGGGGGACGCAGUAGGAUAGGCGAAGCGUGCGAUUGGAUUGCACGUCUAAGCAGUAAGGCUGAGUAUUAGGCAAAUCCGGUACUCGUUAAGGCUGAGCUGUGAUGGGGAGAAGACAUUGUGUCUUCGAGUCGUUGAUUUCACACUGCCGAGAAAAGCCUCUAGAUAGAAAAUAGGUGCCCGUACCGCAAACCGACACAGGUAGUCAAGAUGAGAAUUCUAAGGUGAGCGAGCGAACUCUCGUUAAGGAACUCGGCAAAAUGACCCCGUAACUUCGGGAGAAGGGGUGCUCUUUAGGGUUAACGCCCAGAAGAGCCGCAGUGAAUAGGCCCAAGCGACUGUUUAUCAAAAACACAGGUCUCUGCUAAACCGUAAGGUGAUGUAUAGGGGCUGACGCCUGCCCGGUGCUGGAAGGUUAAGAGGAGUGGUUAGCUUCUGCGAAGCUACGAAUCGAAGCCCCAGUAAACGGCGGCCGUAACUAUAACGGUCCUAAGGUAGCGAAAUUCCUUGUCGGGUAAGUUCCGACCCGCACGAAAGGCGUAACGAUUUGGGCACUGUCUCAACGAGAGACUCGGUGAAAUCAUAGUACCUGUGAAGAUGCAGGUUACCCGCGACAGGACGGAAAGACCCCGUGGAGCUUUACUGUAGCCUGAUAUUGAAAUUCGGCACAGCUUGUACAGGAUAGGUAGGAGCCUUUGAAACGUGAGCGCUAGCUUACGUGGAGGCGCUGGUGGGAUACUACCCUAGCUGUGUUGGCUUUCUAACCCGCACCACUUAUCGUGGUGGGAGACAGUGUCAGGCGGGCAGUUUGACUGGGGCGGUCGCCUCCUAAAAGGUAACGGAGGCGCUCAAAGGUUCCCUCAGAAUGGUUGGAAAUCAUUCAUAGAGUGUAAAGGCAUAAGGGAGCUUGACUGCGAGACCUACAAGUCGAGCAGGGUCGAAAGACGGACUUAGUGAUCCGGUGGUUCCGCAUGGAAGGGCCAUCGCUCAACGGAUAAAAGCUACCCCGGGGAUAACAGGCUUAUCUCCCCCAAGAGUUCACAUCGACGGGGAGGUUUGGCACCUCGAUGUCGGCUCAUCGCAUCCUGGGGCUGUAGUCGGUCCCAAGGGUUGGGCUGUUCGCCCAUUAAAGCGGUACGCGAGCUGGGUUCAGAACGUCGUGAGACAGUUCGGUCCCUAUCCGUCGUGGGCGUAGGAAAUUUGAGAGGAGCUGUCCUUAGUACGAGAGGACCGGGAUGGACAUACCUCUGGUGUACCAGUUGUCGUGCCAACGGCAUAGCUGGGUAGCUAUGUGUGGACGGGAUAAGUGCUGAAAGCAUCUAAGCAUGAAGCCCCCCUCAAGAUGAGAUUUCCCAACUUCGGUUAUAAGAUCCCUCAAAGAUGAUGAGGUUAAUAGGUUCGAGGUGGAAGCAUGGUGACAUGUGGAGCUGACGAAUACUAAUCGAUCGAAGACUUAAUCAA